CCUACGGGAGGCAGCAGUGGGGAAUAUUGCACAAUGGGGGAAACCCUGAUGCAGCGACGCCGCGUGAGUGAUGAAGGUUUUCGGAUUGUAAAGUCCUUUUAGUAGGGAAGAUAAUGACGGUAUCUGACUAAUACGCCCCGGCUAACUCCGUGCCAGCAGCCGCGGUAAUACGGAGGGGGCAAGCGUUACUCGGAUUCACUGGGUGUAAAGGGCGCGUAGGCGGGAGAACAAGUCAGGAGUGAAAUGCUAGGGCUUAACCACGGAACUGCAUUUGAAACUGUGAAGCUAGAGUGCAGGAGAGGUAGGUGGAAUUCCUGGUGUAGCGGUAAAAUGCGUAGAUAUUAAGAGGAACACUCAUGGCGAAGGCGACUUGCUAGACUGUAACUGACGUUGAGGCGCGAAAGCGUGGGGAGCAAACAGGAUUAGAUACCCUAGUAGUC
RNAcentral lists this ribosomal RNA (440 nucleotides) under uncultured bacterium. RNAcentral describes it as "partial 16S ribosomal RNA". It matches the Rfam family "Bacterial small subunit ribosomal RNA", at positions 338 to 795 of the family's 1533-position model. The record is from RNAcentral.